RNAcentral lists this ribosomal RNA (718 nucleotides) under uncultured Bacilli bacterium. RNAcentral describes it as "bacterial SSU rRNA". It matches the Rfam family "Bacterial small subunit ribosomal RNA", at positions 44 to 733 of the family's 1533-position model. Lineage: Bacteria; Bacillati; Bacillota; Bacilli. The record is from RNAcentral.
GUGCCUAAUACAUGCAAGUCGAACGCUUCUUUCCUCCCGAGUGCUUGCACUCAACUGGAAAGAGGAGUGGCGGACGGGUGAGUAACACGUGGGUAACCUACCCAUCAGAGGGGGAUAACACUUGGAAACAGGUGCUAAUACCGCAUAACAGUUUAUGCCGCAUGGCAUAAGAGUGAAAGGCGCUUUCGGGUGUCGCUGAUGGAUGGACCCGCGGUGCAUUAGCCAGUUGGUGAGGUAACGGCUCACCAAGGCCACGAUGCAUAGCCGACCUGAGAGGGUGAUCGGCCACACUGGGACUGAGACACGGCCCAGACUCCUACGGGAGGCAGCAGUAGGGAAUCUUCGGCAAUGGACGAAAGUCUGACCGAGCAACGCCGCGUGAGUGAAGAAGGUUUUCGGAUCGUAAAACUCUGUUGUUAGAGAAGAACAAGGACGUUAGUAACUGAACGUCCCCUGACGGUAUCUAACCAGAAAGCCACGGCUAACUACGUGCCAGCAGCCGCGGUAAUACGUAGGUGGCAAGCGUUGUCCGGAUUUAUUGGGCGUAAAGCGAGCGCAGGCGGUUUCUUAAGUCUGAUGUGAAAGCCCCCGGCUCAACCGGGGAGGGUCAUUGGAAACUGGGAGACUUGAGUGCAGAAGAGGAGAGUGGAAUUCCAUGUGUAGCGGUGAAAUGCGUAGAUAUAUGGAGGAACACCAGUGGCGAAGGCGGCUCUCUGGU